Molecule: ribosomal RNA, 100 nt
Filed under: uncultured Dechloromonas sp. FR028
Lineage: Bacteria; Pseudomonadati; Pseudomonadota; Betaproteobacteria; Rhodocyclales; Azonexaceae
Description: partial 16S ribosomal RNA
Rfam family: Bacterial small subunit ribosomal RNA
Source: RNAcentral
UAGAGUUUGAUCCUGGCUCAGAUUGAACGCUGGCGGCNUGCCNUACACAUGCNAGUCGAACGGCNGCACGGGGGCAACCCUGGUGGCGAGUGGCGAACGG